GAGGCAAGGAAUAACUAUGUGAAUUGUUCCUUAUGCACGCACGCCAUCUUCUCCUAAUUUUUUGUCGCACAAAAAUCAUUCCUAACACCCUUAUCAGAUAAGAAGCGAUCCUCUUCUAUAUUUGAAUCAAAUUCAAAAAAAAAAAUUGAGUCAUAAGGGAGAGAGAAUCCCAGAUAAGGUGGGGUGUCAACUAUUGGCGCCCCCUUAUCUUUCACACGUGCAAAGAAAAAGAUGCAUCCCUCCUUCCUUUCUGCAA
RNAcentral lists this long non-coding RNA (256 nucleotides) under Elaeis guineensis (African oil palm). RNAcentral's name for it is "long non-coding RNA (EGUI_LNC018000)". Lineage: Eukaryota; Viridiplantae; Streptophyta; Magnoliopsida; Arecales; Arecaceae. The record is from RNAcentral.